UUUGUAUAUGAUAGACCACCAAAAAAC
Molecule: non-coding RNA, 27 nt
Filed under: Cricetulus griseus (Chinese hamster)
Lineage: Eukaryota; Metazoa; Chordata; Mammalia; Rodentia; Cricetidae
Source: RNAcentral